This 1148-nucleotide long non-coding RNA is filed under the name Bos taurus (domestic cattle). RNAcentral's name for it is "long non-coding RNA NONBTAT023868". Lineage: Eukaryota; Metazoa; Chordata; Mammalia; Artiodactyla; Bovidae. The record is from RNAcentral.
CAUUCAGUACCCACAGUGCAAUGCUUAUGCAUAAGGUAUUUUCAGGAGAAAAAAGUAGAAAAUGUAUACUUUCCCCCCUUACGCUUUCUCGCCAGAAAGGCCAUCUAGAAACAGAACCAUUACUCAUUCCAGAAGAGCACACAAAAGUCUGAAGUCCAGAUCUACUGUUCGAUUUACUUUUUCCUUUCUCCUCAGGUUCUUCUGAAGACAGGGUGUUUGAAGGCAGGAUGAGGUGAUUCAGUUAGCCUAAUGCUGCUCUUGCUUUCCAAGAAUAUGGACAAUCCUCAGAGACGGUUUUAAAGAAUCUUGACUUUAAAGGGUCUCACACCUUGAGCCAAACCAACACCCAGUUUUAUGGGUGUGUGGACCAGGGUCCCUGACUGGUCCAAGGCCACAUGGCUCAAGAGACAGGGCAGACCUCACAAACAGCUUUGUCACUGCGGUCACCGACCCGAAUUUCUGGGGCAUUCCUGAGGGCCAGCUCACCUACCAAACGCUCCCCUCCCCGCCCCAUACACGGUCUCCCCAGCGUCUCCAAGUUCCUUGAAUGUCUGUUUCCGUGCCAGGACUGUGAGAAUUCUUUAAACAUAGUGAAAUGAACCCACAGCGAAUCCCCACCUCUCAGACUGUGCUGGGUCCGCGCGCCCAGCCCCCUCCCGGAAGCCCAGGCUCUUAAGUCCACACCUGCGUCCGCGCCGUAGCGCGAGGCUGCGCCACACCACCCAGCAGCGCAGGGCCCGUCAGCGCGGAGACGCAAAGAGCACAGAGAACUGGUUACCGGCUCCAGAAGGGGCCCUGGGCCCGCCAACUUGCCGCUGCUGCUACUAACCCACAGGUGACCACAGUAACGGACACCGGGGUUUGUAGUCCAAGAGCCGGGGAAACCCCACACUGCGGCGCCGGAUGGAGCCUCGAGAACUUCCGGUGAAGGGCAGGUGUCCGCGCACGGCUUUAUGGGAGAUGUAGUUCGAAGGUCACACACCGAAGAUGAGAGAAAGCUGGGGGCUGGCGGGUGGAGGCGUUGGGAAACCAGGGCUUGAAGUCCAGCGGUGAGGACAGGCUUCCUAGCGGACCUGAAGUUUCAAUUGGCAUAUAGGAGACAUUCAGUUAAUAUUUUUUGAUGUUAAAUAAAUGGUUGCUUUCAUAUU